GCGCCCGUAGCUCAAACGGAUAGAGCGAGGGACUCCUAAGCCCUAGGUUGGACGUUCGAAUCGUCUCGGGCGCA
Molecule: transfer RNA, 74 nt
Filed under: Vulcanimicrobiota bacterium
Lineage: Bacteria; Bacillati; Vulcanimicrobiota
Description: tRNA-Arg
Rfam family: tRNA
About the family: Transfer RNA (tRNA) molecules are approximately 80 nucleotides in length. Their secondary structure includes four short double-helical elements and three loops (D, anti-codon, and T loops).
Source: RNAcentral